CGGAUAUACAGUGUGUGUGUGUGUGUGUGUGUGUGUGUGUAUAUAUAUAUAUAUAUAUACACACACACACACUGUAUAUCCA
This is a non-coding RNA of Podarcis lilfordi (Lilford's wall lizard), 82 nucleotides long. NCBI's taxonomy places the organism in Eukaryota, Metazoa, Chordata, Lepidosauria, Squamata, Lacertidae. The record is from the annotation of a GenBank genome assembly.